This 72-nucleotide transfer RNA is filed under the name Felis catus (domestic cat). It matches the Rfam family "tRNA". Rfam says of the family: Transfer RNA (tRNA) molecules are approximately 80 nucleotides in length. Their secondary structure includes four short double-helical elements and three loops (D, anti-codon, and T loops). RNAcentral also lists the same sequence under 5 other names. The record is from Rfam by way of RNAcentral. Lineage: Eukaryota; Metazoa; Chordata; Mammalia; Carnivora; Felidae.
GCCUGACUGGUUUAGUCAGUGGAGCGUGCGAUUCUUGAUCUCAGGUCAUGAGUUCAAGCCCCAUGUUGGGCG